GAGGAAAAACUUGCUGAUUUAUUUGUAGCUCUGGUCCUAUUUCCGGGAAUAAUAAAGAGUAAUUAAAGUCAUUACAGGUCGGAUUUCAUACAUCCGCACAGUGGACGGACUGAGUUUCGGUCCAGACGGCCAGGAAAUACUCUGUGGAUUCUAGAGGCACAUUCAGGAGGAGGGAUCGAACGGACGCUGGUGAGGAGCAGCUGCUGAUGCUGCAGCCGCCGUUAAUCCUGCCGACGCCGCUGAGCUUCUGUGGUCAGUACUAACCGGCCUUUUAUUUUACAUGGGUGCGGCUCUGAUCCGUCCAUGUGUCCCAGGUAUCUGUUCAUUACUUUUACUGCUUAAAUCACCAAAGCAACAUCCAAAAACACAGCUGCCCACGUUUCUCUGCCGCUUCCAUCAAACGCUCCUUCACGGAAACGAGAAAUGUUC
Molecule: long non-coding RNA, 429 nt
Organism: Mugil cephalus (flathead mullet)
Lineage: Eukaryota; Metazoa; Chordata; Actinopteri; Mugiliformes; Mugilidae
Exons: 3
Source: RefSeq, a predicted model, not a curated record